GGCCGAGGCUCGGGGUGAGUGAGGGGCGGCAGGGCUCUGAGCCUGGCGGGUUCCGGCUAUUCCCUUCGCGGUCCAGUUUAGUCCACUGCGAGGGCACCUGCAGCGCCGGGAUCUGAGUGCGAAACUCCGAGCGGAAGCUGGUCUGGCAGGUCCUCUGGAGCUUGGGGCCAGGCGGGGGCGACUUGGGGGAGCCAUCCUUGGGCUCCCAGACGGAUUACUCGGGAGGCUGAGGCAGGAGAAUCGCUUGAACCGGAGAGGCGGACGUUGCAGUGAGCCGAGGUCAAACCAGUGCACUCCAGCCUGGGCAACAGAGCGAGACUCCAUCUGAAAAAGAAACAAAAAGAAAAAAAAA
Long non-coding RNA from Homo sapiens (human), 352 nucleotides. The record is from Ensembl. NCBI's taxonomy places the organism in Eukaryota, Metazoa, Chordata, Mammalia, Primates, Hominidae.